GAACCCUUUAACCGUACUGAGAACUUCUAUAACACUAUAGAACCUUUCAUGCUAAAACUAGUAACAAGAGAUAACUCCUCUCCUAAUGCAAACAUAAGCCAGUAAGAACCCGUCACUGGCAACUAACAACCUUAAAAGUAGCAACCUCACUAGAAAACCCUACUUUUCCCCCACCGUUAACCUAACCCAAGAGCAUUUCAAGAAAGAUUAAAAGAAAAAGAAGGAACUCGGCAAAUAUUAGCCUCGCCUGUUUACCAAAAACAUCGCCUCUUGCCCCCCCCCCUAAGAGGUCCAGCCUGCCCAGUGACUCUGUUCAACGGCCGCGGUAUCCUAACCGUGCAAAGGUAGCGUAAUCACUUGUCUUCUAAAUGGAGACUAGUAUGAAAGGCACCACGAAGACUAUACUGUCUCCUUUCUCUAAUCAGUGAACCUAAUCUCCCCGUGAAGAAACGGGGAUUCUACUAUAAGACGAGAAGACCCUAUGGAGCUUUAAACAUCAUAAACACCUGCCACCACUUACAACUACCCAGGUAAUUACCCCCAUAGCACACUGUUUAUAAGUUUUUGGUUGGGGCGACCGCGGAGAACAACCCAUCCUCCACAAUGAAAGGGGAUACCCCUAAACAAUAAGUUACAACUUUAUGUAUCAACAAAUUGACAUCCAUUGACCCAACAAAUUGAUCAACGAACCAAGUUACCCUAGGGAUAACAGCGCAAUCCACUUUGAGAGCCCCUAUCGACAAGUGGGCUUACGACCUCGAUGUUGGAUCGGGAUAUCCAAGUGGCGCA
Molecule: ribosomal RNA, 789 nt
Filed under: Pristimantis sp. ZSFQ 580
Lineage: Eukaryota; Metazoa; Chordata; Amphibia; Anura; Strabomantidae
Description: partial large subunit ribosomal RNA
Rfam family: Bacterial large subunit ribosomal RNA
Source: RNAcentral